CUGAGAGGGGGAAAUAGAAGACAUGGCGGGUGCUCAUGGCUUAACCCUUCCCUGUCAUUCAUCCACUUUUGCUUGCUUCCCCGUCUCAGCCUGUGCUUCCGGACCCAGCUCCCCGUGUGGAUUGUUUUGGGGGCAAAACCUCAGAGGCCAGGUCCCCAGACAGAGCCUUCCUUGCAGCUCAGUCUUCCAACCAAGGCUAACAGUCAAGAGUCAUCCAGACGUGACCGGCAGUGCGGUGGGUGCGGGGAGACACUCAUCCCGCUCCGUGUACAGAGUGAUCUCUGCGGGCCCUUCUCUUCCCGUUUCCUUGGCCUCCUGGGAAGACGCCAAAUUUCCAUCAAGGGGGCUGGCUUUGCACUGAGUCUUCCGUGAGGAACUGUUGAAAGCAGUCACCUCCCAAAUGUCAGAAGAUUCACCCCUCUUUGGGGAAACCCUGAUGCGAUGAAUACGGUGUUGAGUGCCAACCCCAAAUCUGAAGGAAAAGGUGGUCCUGACCCACGGGCACAGAGCUUUACAGAGCUUUUGAUCCUCCCCACCAUGCUGAGAGUCAGGUCUUAGUUGUAGCACGUGGGAUCUACUUCCCUGACCAGAGACUGAACUCAAACUUCCUGCACUGGGAGGAAGGAGGCUUAGCCACUCGACCAGGGAAGUACCUGUUCCAAGAUUCUGAAGCAGCCGAAAGCGAAAGUGAAGGUCGCUCAGUCGUGUCCGACUCUUUUCCGCCCGGUGGACUAUACAGCCCAUGGGAUUCUCCAGGCCAGAAUACUGGGAAGAAUAAUCAUGAAAGACAGCACAUUAAAAAGCAGAGAAAUCACCUUGCUGACAAAGGUCCGUCUUUCAAGCCGUGGUUUUUCCAGUACUUGUGUACAGUUGUGAGAGCUGGGCCAUAAACAAGGCUGAGUGCAAAGAACUGACGCUUUCCGACUGUGGUCCUGCAGGAGACUCUUGAGAGACCCUCGCACAGCAAGACCAAACCAGUCAAUCCCAAAGGAAAUGGAGGGUGAGAUGUAUACAGAGAGUAUCAUGGAAAUUUGCAAUGCCAUAUGUAAAAUAGAUGGCCAAUGGGAAUUUGCUGUAAGACUCAGGGAACUCAAACAUGGGCUCUGUGACAAUCUAGAAGGUUGGGAUGGUGAGUGAGAUGGGAAGGAGGUUCGGGAGGGAGGGGACGUGGGUGUAAAUACGGCUGAUUCUUGUUGAUGAUUCACAGAAAGCCACAAAAUUCUGUAAAGCAUUUAUCCUUCAAUUAAAAAAUAAAUAAAGUGGGAAAAAAAAACUAAAGAAAAUCAACCCUGAAUAUUCAUUGGAAGGACUGAUGCUGAAACUGAAGCUCCAAUAUUUUGGCCACCUGAUGCUAAGAGCUGACUCAUUAGAAAAGACCCUGAUGCUGGAAAAGAUUGAGGGCAGGAGGAGAAGGGGACGACAGAGGACGAGAUGGCUGGAUGGCAUCAUCGACUCAGUGGGCAUGAAUUUGAGCAAACUCCGGGAGAGAGUGGAGGACAGAGGAGCCUGGUGUGCUGCAGUCCGUGGGGCCGCGAACAGUCGGACGUGACUUAGUGACCAAGCGACAGAAACGGCAACAGGGAGAGGGAUCUUCAACCACUUCUGUAUUUGCGCUAUUUUGCAUUUACUAAACACUAAAAAUCUCGUGUUUCACUGAGCAGGCACUCCUAAAUUAACUUCUUGGCAUGUUAUGACAGUUACUUGGGC
Bos taurus (domestic cattle) is the source of this 1707-nucleotide long non-coding RNA. NCBI's taxonomy places the organism in Eukaryota, Metazoa, Chordata, Mammalia, Artiodactyla, Bovidae. The record is from Ensembl.